Molecule: long non-coding RNA, 1290 nt
Organism: Musa acuminata AAA Group (dessert banana)
Lineage: Eukaryota; Viridiplantae; Streptophyta; Magnoliopsida; Zingiberales; Musaceae
Exons: 2
Source: RefSeq, a predicted model, not a curated record
AGGGCCACAUAUUCUAACAUUUCCCCAUUGAACAAGAGGGUUGAGCUUUAUGCUAUAGCAUCCUGAGCGACUAUGAGCUUUAUGCUCCUCAGCCAGGGCAGCGUGCUUAUGAUCCGUUCCCGAAUGGGUUCGGCUUGACGCUGGAUGCGUUAGAGGUGGGACUUUGAUUCCCCCUACAUCCUAUGAUCGAGGCCUGCCUUGCUCGAUGGUGGAUCUCGCCAUUGUAGAUGGCACUGAACUCGUGACACCAUCUGGUAGCUUUCCUAGGGGAGUGUCGAGGGGCGGGGGUUAUCCCGACCCGCUCACUCUUCUUCUCGUGCUUCCGCCUUUCCAAAGGGGUAGGCGACUACUGGCUGUCAUCCGGAGGAGGUUUUCGGGUGAGUGGGGCUCCUUCCAACAAUAAGGGGUGGAAGAGUUGAUUUUUUUUAUCAGCUAUAGUCGAGGCUGGGACUUCGACCUUCGAUGGUCAUCUCGAUCGAUCGAUAAUUCUCUUCCAGGCUUGUCUAAUGAUGAGCAUGAGCAGCUCGGUCGCUUGAAGGAGGUCCUUUCUUCUUCCCGGGCAAUUAGGGACAUAAUCAAGGAGUGACUGGUCGAAGCGGAGCUUAGUCCGACUCCUCGAGGAAUGGUGAAUUUGAAGGAGUUGAGAGGGAUGCCUCGUGCUUCCUCAGCCCCUCGGGCUUCAGAGCUGGACCUGCCGGCCUCGGGGGGUCAGGAGUGACCUUCGGGGUUGGGGCCCGAACAGCCAUGCAAGAAGUCUAAGGUCUUGACCCGCAAGAGACCUGCGCCGACCGCAACGCAGGAGGCGUCUGGCGAGGCCGGGAAGCGUCUUCGCGAGGCUUCUUCGAGCAGAGCGGCCGGAGGGAGCGCUCGGGGCAAAGCCCAUGCCGAUCCUCGAGGGGAAUCGACGAGAUCUGCGUGGACUCGAGAUCUCUGUGGUACUCGGGCACGGGCCAACGUCGAGCCCUUCCAAUCGCUCUUCAUGGGGGACUUGCCUGACGGGGAGGGAACUACUCCCCUUGAGCCGCGCUGGUCGGGGCUGACGCUCGACGAUCGGAUUUGGGCGGACGAUGCUUCCUAUGGUGCUUAUCUCUGAGGUGCCCUUAUCCCUGCAAUCGCAAAGCAUGUGUAUAGCUUGCCUUCCGAGGUGCUGAUUGAUAAGUCCGCCAAGUCCUUGGUAUAGGUAGGUGUAUUGCUUUGUUAUCGAGGCUAUAGAUCGGGAAGGCUAGGUGUAUUGCUUUGUUAUCGAGGCUAUAGAUCGGGAAGGCUUGCCCCGACUCCUCCUGUUGAUCA